RNAcentral lists this ribosomal RNA (490 nucleotides) under uncultured bacterium. RNAcentral's name for it is "partial 16S ribosomal RNA". It matches the Rfam family "Bacterial small subunit ribosomal RNA", at positions 28 to 507 of the family's 1533-position model. The record is from RNAcentral.
GAUGAACGCUGGCUACAGGCUUAACACAUGCAAGUCGAGGGGAAACGCCGGGGAAGCUUGCUUCCCCGGGCGUCGACCGGCGCACGGGUGAGUAACGCGUAUCCAACCUGCCUCUGACUGAGGGAUAACCCGUCGAAAGUCGGCCUAAUACCUCAUGGCAUCGUCUGCGGGCAUCCAACGACGAUUAAAGAUUUCAUCGGUCAGGGAUGGGAUGCGUCUGAUUAGCUUGUUGGCGGGGUAACGGCCCACCAAGGCUACGAUCAGUAGGGGUUCUGAGAGGAAGGUCCCCCACAUUGGAACUGAGACACGGUCCAAACUCCUACGGGAGGCAGCAGUGAGGAAUAUUGGUCAAUGGGCGGGAGCCUGAACCAGCCAAGUAGCGUGCAGGAUGACGGCCCUAUGGGUUGUAAACUGCUUUUAUGCGGGGAUAAAGUGAGGGACGUGUCCUUCAUUGCAGGUACCGCAUGAAUAAGGACCGGCUAAUUCCGUG